GAUGAACGCUGGCGGCGUGCCUAAUACAUGCAAGUCGAGCGAACGGACGAGAAGCUUGCUUCUCUGAUGUUAGCGGCGGACGGGUGAGUAACACGUGGAUAACCUACCUAUAAGACUGGGAUAACUUCGGGAAACCGGAGCUAAUACCGGAUAAUAUUUUGAACCGCAUGGUUCAAAAGUGAAAGACGGUCUUGCUGUCACUUAUAGAUGGAUCCGCGCUGCAUUAGCUAGUUGGUAAGGUAACGGCUUACCAAGGCAACGUUGCAUAGCCGACCUGAGAGGGUGAUCGGCCACACUGGAACUGAGACACGGUCCAGACUCCUACGGGAGGCAGCAGUAGGGAAUCUUCCGCAAAGGGCGAAAGCCUGACGGAGCAACGCCGCGUGAGUGAUGAAGGUCUUCGGAUCGUAAAACUCUGUUAUUAGGGAAGAACAUAUGUGUAAGUAACUGUGCACAUCUUGACGGUACCUAAUCAGAAAGCCACGGCUAACUACGUG
This 497-nucleotide ribosomal RNA is filed under the name uncultured bacterium. Its description in RNAcentral is "partial 16S ribosomal RNA". It matches the Rfam family "Bacterial small subunit ribosomal RNA", at positions 28 to 507 of the family's 1533-position model. The record is from RNAcentral.